UGUUGAGUACGCUUUAAACCAACUGUUUGUGGUUUACGUUAACUACUUUAUUCUUUAGUUAAGUAACCUUUGUGGUUACUUAAGUUCACUUAGGGUUGAUGAACAAACUGACAGUGUAGUUUAGUAAUGUAUAGUUCUAAUGUAUAGUUUAGAACUAUACAGGUUACUUACUGUGUAGAGUAAUUUGUUGAAGUACACUGAACUGUGUAGUGUAUACUUUUACCUGAAUAAACAGUUACCAGAACAUACAUACUCUAUGUAUUCCCUGUCCCAAGUAUACUUUAUACUUUACAUAUAGUUCUGUCAGUAGUUUUUACAGUAUAAACAGUUACACUAAACUAAGAUACAUAUCAGAACAACUUACCUAAAACGAAAACUGGUUACUUAUGUACUUAAGUAGUGUAAACUACAAACUUUGUAAUCCCUUGAAACAUACAUGUUCUAUGUAGUUUGUCUACAGUUUAGUUUUAGUUUAGAACUAUACAUAUUUAAACAUCUUAAAGUAAAAGCUUAAACAGUUUAAUGAUCAGAAUAGUUUUUACAAACUACAAAAGUAAAUCAUCCAUGAUUUUACUUGCUUACUUGACAUUGUGAUUAGACUUUGUCUAUCUGAUCAUGAGUUAGUACUCUACUUAUUGGUAUAUAAUCAGUACAUUCUCAAUCUGUAAAUUUUAUAGCAUACUUUAACCAUUACUUGAUCAUUGGAUAUUACAUGAUUUAUUUGGUAAUAUGAAUCUGAAAAUCAUUCUGAUUUUACGUCAAGACUAUGCUGAGAAGUGUAUAUACCAACUUUUUCACUGAGAGAUAACUGAGUCUUUAAUCAGAGAGUAAAGAUCUGGAGUACACUUUAGAUAACUGUCUAAUUUGAGUAAAUUUUUAAAGAAAACAAGGAGUAUAAUUACCUGCUGGAGAUUAAUCUAGAUUGUUAAAUUUGGUAUGAGUCUAGAGAAACUAGAGCAAUCUAGAUCCUGACAAGUUUAAUUACUGUAACUACACAAGUUUUAGCUUAAUCUCAAGCUUGGACAAAAUUGUUGGUUUAGAUUAAUAUCUCAAUAUAAAUUUUGUAAACUAAUCAAUGCUUAGAUCCUGUCAGAUUUAGAAUAUAAUCAAGUGGUUGUCAGUUUUUAGAUAAUCUAGAGGUCAUGUUUACUUUUUGUAAACUCAACCAAACAGGCAGAAUUUAGGUCUAAGAUUAUGAAGUUUGACAUUAAACUGAUUUAGUAAGUGCUCUCAGACUUCAAACUAUAGAAUGUCUAGUAGUUGAUAGAGAUCUGUUUAGUUUUGACUGAAACAUGUAGACAGACAGACAUAAACUCCUAAAUUUUACAUUAGGAUAAAUCUAAAAUUGAGAUUUGAGUUAUGUAGAAUUACUAUGAUUUAAUCUACACUAAUCAAUACAUUAGUUCCACAUUGCUUCAUGUUAAAUCUGAGGACUUUGAAAACAUGUUUGUUAGCUGUUAAUUGAGUAUGUUAACAUUUGAGAUUUGUAAACUUUUGAUUAAACACCUGUAAGAUCUGACUGUACAGUCAAAGAUCCAAUGACAUACAUAUACAGAUCUAAAAACAUGCUUAAUAUCAACUGAACUUUGAUGCAUUUUUACAGUUUAAAUGUAUAACUAGUUAGUUUAGUUUUACAGUAAACUUACAAACUAACUUAAAGUACUAGAACUAUUUCAAUAGAUUAUAAACCUUACAAUCAUUAGAUCUGUUGAAGUAGGGUACAGUUUAAAAACUACCUAAAUGUAGAUUAAAUCAAAAGCAUUUAAACUAGAUUUAGAUCUAAACUUUGUAGUUCAGUACUAUAAAAUAGAUUUCAAACUGUAGCAUUACAUUAACAACUGAAAACUGAUAUAAAAAUCUCUGCUUUAUAAAUUUAACUAUGAAUUAUUUAAACAUCACUGUAGUUACAAAACUUGAUUUCCUCCAGAAAACAGAAAACUAACACUCAAAUUUGUAACUAAAUUUGAUGUUUGUAACUUUCCACAAAUCUACAUUACUAAGAUUACUACUUUCAACUCAUAAGAGAAACAAUUUCUGAGUAAACUAGGUGACUCAACUCAAAACAAACAAUCUAUGUUUAGUUAGAGUUGAGAACUUUGUGUUAUAGUACUAUAACUAUUAACACAAUCAUUUAAUUAGUUUCUCUAACAAUGAAACAGUUAAACUACAACAAUGAACUUAAUAGUUAAAUCUAGUUUGUUUUAAAAGAGAGAAACUAAUUCAGGUUAACAAAAACAUGACUUUGAUGUUUAAACCAGGAAACUUCUUGUUUUUAUUCAGUUAUAUGAAUGUUUUACAUAGUAAGUAAGUGUGAAUAAACAAUAGUGUACAAUCCAUAAAGACACUAUUGUUUGCAUUGAAACUGUUUGAGACAGAACACCCAUUUUUUGAGAAUGUACAUUUUAAUGUUUGUAAAUUCAAAAGUUUCUAUAACAAAUUUGUCUAAACCUAUAAACACUGUAGCUGUCACAUUGUACACAACACUGAACUCCUGUGAGUAGUUUAGUACAGCCAAAUCAAUCAUCUCCAUCUGAUGUUCAUGAUCUAUGCCAAAACUUAAAUCAAUACCUUAUCUCAUCUAGAGACAAACUUAGCACAUGGGAUCUUUUAUAAACACAAAUCUCACUACUGACCACUUAGUACAGCAUGAGAAGGCAAAUACACCAUAUUUAUUGAAAAUAAACAGCAGAUGCUUUUCAGUCACACAACAUACACACACAUUCUGCAGGUGGUCUUUGUUGUAGCUCAAGUCAGACUGGUAACUAUAAUCUAAUGGCCAGUUUGAGCAUGAGUGAGGAGCUAGGCUCUGUCAGUUGCAAUCCAAGGCUUUGCAGGACUGAACUCGGCGUUCCAUGGCAAAACACCCCAUCUUUAUGUGACUCAAUGAUUACAGGAUGACAUUGCAAAAUGCAUGGAGUCCUUAAGUGGUGUUAAUCUUGGUUUUCUGCUGUUAAUGAGGGGAAGCCAGACAAUAACCAUCAAAUGACAUCUCCUAUUUGUCAUCUUGCCUUCAGGGGUGCCUGCCUCGCCUCUGAGGUCAUCGGUGCUGCUAACAUGUUUGUCUCCUGGUGUUUAGCCUUGGAUAUUUUCCGAUAGAUACAAUGGAAAGUCUCUCACUUUUCCUGACGCGUGCAUUCCUCUUUGAAGGUUUCUGUGAGAGAGACUGUUUGUGAUGGCUUUCACAUCUUAUCUUUUUCUUGGACAAAGGUAUACAGAAUACAUAAAUAGAUUAGAGAAACGUUGAGGGCCUGAAGCGCCAAUGUGAACUGUUUGUAUUACAAAGACAAAAUCCUGAGUGACUGUCUAAGGUUUAGUAAGAUAGUUAUAGGAAACCAGUGUAAGUAAACUAAUCCAGACUUAUAUAGAUUUAGCAAAAGUAAACAGUCAGAACGUCUAUAGUUAUCCUACUAAAACAAAAGGGUGACCAUAAGGAUGGUUAAGUUGUUCUGGUCGGUCCCUGCCUUAUUGGUACAGACACUGGCAGUCUAGCAGAAAGGAAUGCAUCUGACAUUCAAUGUAUGUCUUUAUAGAUUCAAAAAGGGUGGCCGGUAAAAUAUGAUUAUAAAAUACUGCUCCUACAAGAAUAAAGGUACUAACUUUGUGACAAAAGAGAAAGUACAGCACAAGAUUUGUACAUGUACAACAAUACUAUAAAGUUGAAAACUAAAGUAGAAUCCUAAAUUACUGGAUGAUCAGUUCAACUGAUCCAAACAAAUACUUGUUAGAGUUUUUACUUCAAAUUCAAGUAGAAAUUGAUUAGUACUGACACAGACAAACCCUUAUUGUAAACAUUUAAGGAUUUGAGUGUUUUGAGAAAUACCAUUAACUUAAAAGUAACUUACACAGAUUCAAAAGUGUAGAGUAGAUAUCAAAACCUUUUGGUAAUGAGAUUUUUCACAAAGAUGAUGUCUUUUUAAUCAAGUGUACCUGUAAAGUAGUAAAAUCUGAACAGGGACUGUAAACUAACAUAUCUGGUUGUGAUUUGUGAGAUUUCUUACUACAAAAGAUGAUAAUUGGAUGAGGUGUAGAUGGAAUCUGAAACACUAAAUCUAUCAUAAGUAAGAGUACAAAAGUGAGAUCCAGUUUUAGAUGAGAUUCUCUAGUAUUAGAAAGUUUUGACCACUUAAUGAGUCAGUACAGAUCAAAAUGUUUGCUUAAUUCCAAAUUUAAGAAGUAGAAAAGUAAAACUGUCACUUAUAGUAUUUGUUUCAGUUUAGUCACUUGACAUUAAUAUUCAGGUCAAUAAGUUAUGAGAUUUAACUAAAAGUUUUGUCUGUAAAGUAUCUGACAAACAGUGACUCAGUUUUUGAGAGAGUUUGUAGUUACUUGGUUUUAAAGAAGUAGAUUAAUCUAAACUGUUGUUUUUUAAAAACCGGUCAAGCAGAAUAUAACCCUAUCCUGUAAAUGCAGACACAGAAUGCUACUACUCUAUGCUUAAGAUGAGUUUAAAGUGAUGAUGGUUUUGAUAAACUAUGACAGAAGUAAGUAAACUAAAACAGUUUUAAAGAAUCUUAUCCUUUACUAUGUUACCAAGAUAUCCUGUCAACUAACAAAGCAUCUUACAAAUGCUUUGAAAACACAGAAGUGUUAAGCAUACUCCUACUACUGUUUAAAUCUAAUCUGGAAAGUAACUAUAUCACUUUGGUAUACCAAUCAACUUUAGUAUAAUGAAAUCAACAUCUGAAGAUUAGUGUCAAAUCUUAUGACUAAUCUUCAGAAGAUGGAUAUAUCCAUGUCUCAGUUUCGAGUCAUGUGCAUUAGUCUCUUAAGUGCACUUUAAUGCACUUUGAAUAUUAUCCUAAUCAUCAUAAUGUUUGCUUUGAAUUUGGCUGAACUCAACUGUUUGGAAAACAGGUUUGUUAAUUGUGUGAAAACUAAACAAAAGAACAAACUAAAUGACAAUCUUUAACCUUUGGAUAUCAACUACAAAAACGUCUAGUUUUGUAAUAAUAGUUCAAUCUAUGGACAGUGAUUACUGAUUCUGAUAACUGUCAUCUGAUUGAAUGUUAAACUCCACAUUAGAAAAAUCACAUGACAGAGAAUCUAGGAUGUUUGUUCACUAACAUCCUAGAUUCUUUGUCAUCUGAUUAAAUACUGAUUAGAAUAAUAAACUCUACAAUCAGAUGACAUAGUGAACAAUCACUGUCCAUAGAUUCUGAUAACUGUUAGUUUGGUAACAUCCUAUCAACAUCAAGAUCUAGGAUGUUACAUUGAUUGUUUUUCUAGUGUGAUAGUUUGGUAUUUGGGCAUGUGUUGUUAAAAGGUGCCACUGGACUCAGUUAACUACUGGUAGUAAAGCAAAAUAACUUUUACCCACAAAAGCUUAUUGGAUCAAUACCCUUAAACACAUAAACCACUUCUUCAGAUGCAAUGUUACAACAACAGUCUCACAUUUGUUCACCAAUCCUCAACUUUGAUAAGAUCAGAUACUGAUAAUCUUGAGUUUGAUAACAGUCUCAACACUGAUGUAUUUCCUGAUAUCUAACUAGUUACAAAUGCUGAAUAUCCUGAAUACAAAGCACCUCAACACUUCAACUAUUUGUAUCUCACAGAUCUAUAUAGUCUGAAAGUUCAGCAAUUAACAUGUUGCUCUGAGUUUGAUUCUUUCCUUGUCAGUAAGUUUGUUAACAAACUUUAAGAUUAAAACUUGUUAGUCGACUAAAACUGAUUUUGACUGAUAUCUUGAGACAAAUCUUGUUUUCAGUAAGAUCCUAGAAUAUCAUCUGAUAAAACAUCAGGUAAUAUUACAUUUUAUCACCCUACAUAGUUAAUAUAAAACUGUUAAAUUGAUUAUGUUUGCUAUAUUUAUAACUAACUAUGUAGGGUGAUCUAGUUUUAUAUUACCUGGAUUUACUGUUAGACAAACAUGUCUACAUCAUUCUUGGAUGAGUUCGAUGAGAGAGUGUAUUAGAUAAGAUUUUUCACUCUGAUCUUUAACUGGUUGAUAUGUUUGUUUCUUAGAUUAAUCAAACUCAGAAGUAAAUCAGUUGUUAUGCAGACUUGAUCAGUUUUCAAAAUAUUCUCAAAUUGUUUUAACACUUUCAGUGUAACUGAAAAACGAUAGUUGGAGAUGUUCUCUAGUGUUUCGUUUAAACACUAAAUUUAAACACCCACAUGAAUAAGGUUGAACAACCCUGAUUGUUAUUAUACACUUAGUUCCUCUAAACUCAGUUAAUAACUACACUUUAUCAAAAGAACCAGAGAAAUAACACAAAUGGUGUUGUAAAAUCUAAGAUCAAAGUGUGUUUGUUUACGAACUAAAUUUUUUUCACAAGGAUGUUUACUUUAAUACUUUAGAGGAUUGAGGUAGUAGAAAUUGUUCAAAUCUGUAUGUUUGUGUAACAGACUGAUUUGUUAAGAUUUGAUAAAGUGUUCUGUAGUGAAAUGUUUAUGAACUAAAUAAAUACAUUACCACAA
Chelonia mydas (Green sea turtle) is the source of this 6417-nucleotide long non-coding RNA. RefSeq lists it as uncharacterized. The transcript has 2 exons. The record is from RefSeq and is a predicted model, not a curated record. Lineage: Eukaryota; Metazoa; Chordata; Testudines; Cheloniidae.